Molecule: ribosomal RNA, 744 nt
Filed under: cyanobacterium enrichment culture clone 5_16_5.5.4_G12-T7
Lineage: Bacteria; Bacillati; Cyanobacteriota
Description: bacterial SSU rRNA
Rfam family: Bacterial small subunit ribosomal RNA
Source: RNAcentral
AGUUUGAUCCUGGCUCAGGAUGAACGCUGGCGGUCUGCUUAACACAUGCAAGUCGAACGGGAUCCUUCGGGAUUUAGUGGCGGACGGGUGAGUAACGCGUGAGAAUCUGCCCUUAGGUUGGGGACAACAGUUGGAAACGACUGCUAAUACCCAAUGUGCCGAGAGGUGAAAGGUUAACUGCCUGGGGAUGAGCUCGCGUCUGAUUAGCUAGUUGGAGUGGUAACGGCACACCAAGGCGACGAUCAGUAGCUGGUCUGAGAGGAUGAUCAGCCACACUGGGACUGAGACACGGCCCAGACUCCUACGGGAGGCAGCAGUGGGGAAUUUUCCGCAAUGGGCGAAAGCCUGACGGAGCAAGACCGCGUGAGGGAGGAAGGCUUAUUGGUUGUAAACCUCUUUUGAUAGGGAAGAACACAAUGACGGUACCUAUCGAAUCAGCAUCGGCUAACUCCGUGCCAGCAGCCGCGGUAAUACGGAGGAUGCAAGCGUUAUCCGGAUUUAUUGGGCGUAAAGCGUCCGUAGGUGGCAAACCAAGUCAGUUGUUAAAGCGUAGAGCUUAACUCUAUAAGGGCAAUUGAAACUGGUUAGCUAGAGUGCGAUAGGGGCAAGGGGAAUUCCCAGUGUAGCGGUGAAAUGCGUAGAUAUUGGGAAGAACAUCGGUGGCGAAGGCGCCUUGCUGGGUCUGCACUGACACUGAGGGACGAAAGCUAGGGGAGCGAAAGGGAUUAGAUACCCCUGUAGUCC